RNAcentral lists this long non-coding RNA (1291 nucleotides) under Betula platyphylla (Asian white birch). Lineage: Eukaryota; Viridiplantae; Streptophyta; Magnoliopsida; Fagales; Betulaceae. The record is from RNAcentral.
UAAUUUCUUGGGACGUUAUAGCCUCUUAAUAAUCCUUCACAAACAGACUGUAUUUUCUCCAUAUUUAUAUCAUAUCGAACAGGUUAAUUAGUUAAUAUUUCACUAUCUAUUAAGUGAAGUCUUUGGCUGCAUAAACUCUUUUUUGUGAAAUAAAGUUAAAUGUUCCCAUGUUUCCAUUUUGUGCAAUUGGAAAUGAGGUGCCGUAUCAGUUAAUUUUUCUUGGGACGUUAUAGCCUCUUAAAAUAAUCCUUCACAAACAGACUGUAUUUUCUCCAUAUUAUAUCAUUCGAACAGUUAGGUUCAUAUCCUUAUUUUAAACCCCGAGACUGUAAUCGAACUCUAGUAUCCUCAAACACCUUGAAAAUCCUCCACAAUGGCAUAUAACAUUACUAUGUGGGUAAUUAUCAUUCCUAGCCCUCCACGAACAUUUAGAUUAGCAAGCAACACAAUAAAAAGUCAACAUAAAUCUAUAUCUAUUACAACUUGACCAAGUCAAAACAAAAUCUACUUUAAUUCUCUCUCUUGCAAUUGAGCUCAUAAAAAGUGAUAAUAUCUUAUUCACUUAACUGCUUACUUGAGCAAACCGGCUCCACCCAUGAUCUUGCAACUUCAACAUAGCAAUGUACAUCUUUAUCAGCAUAUGUAAAGUAGUGGAAACGCUUAUCUCACCGGAGGGAGGAGCCGAUUUGCUCAAGCGAAAUAGCUAAGUGAGAAGAUACCAUCACCUUUUAUGAGCUCAAUUGCAAGAGAGAAAAUUAAACUAAUUAGGUGAGAUACCGUUUCCACCACUUCUACAAAAAUGCAAUGUCAUAGACAUUCACUUCACUUCCAUUUAACGAUGACCAAAAACUUGAGGGGAAGAAUCUGGCUGCAUGCGGCUUCUGUAAAUAAAGCCUAUAGUCGAUUUGCUACACAUCCUUCUUUGGUCUUUCUCUUAUACUUAUACUUUCACUAUUAGUAUGUAGAUUUCAUAUGUAGACUCACAUAAAACUCCCAGAUCUACUUAACUGCUUACUUGAGCAAACCGGCUCCACCCUUAGGUGAGAUAACCGUUUCCACCACUUCUACAAAAAUGCAAUGUCAUAGACAUUCACUUCACUUCCAUUCCUGGAACUUCCAGUACAUACAUUUCAGACAUGCUUUUGUGUUUCCAUGACCCUCACUGGAGGAGGCCAUGCAGGGUAAAGCUGUACCUCCUGUUAAACUUGAGCGCACUUCAUUGUCUCCAUGGAAGGUGAACCCGGGCAAACCCCCAAUCCGUGCAAAACGCCCCAUCAACACAACAUAUGUG